GUUUUCCUAGCCAGUUGGUCUGUUGGCUUGCAAAUAAUAUGUACAAAUCUGUGUUUUCUUCCAGGGUCUUUCUUCCCUGAUUUCAAGCCCUCAGAAACAGUUUUUAAAAUAGCAUUUUGGCUCGGAUACCUAAACAGCUGCAUCAACCCCAUUAUAUACCCGUGCUCCAGUCAAGAGUUUAAAAAGGCCUUUCAGAAUGUCUUGAGAAUCCAGUGUCUCCGCAGAAAGCAGUCUUCUAAACACACCCUGCAGGGCUAUACCCUGCACCCGCCCAGCCACGCCCUGGAAGGGCAGCACAAGGACCUGGUGCGCAUCCCAGUGGGAUCAGGAGAGACCUUCUAUAAGAUCUCCAAGACGGAUGGGGUCUGCGAAUGGAAAUUUUUCUCUUCAGUGCCCCGUGAAUCUGCCAGGAUUACAGUGUCCAAAGACCAGUCAGCCUGCACCACAGCCCGGGACUUUUAACCCUGAAACCACCUGCACACAGCUCCGGUCCAGCCUGGUUGGAACACUGUUGGCACCUGCUCCUUGUCUACAUACUGUGCCGGGGAGCAGGGCUAAGCCCAGGCCACUGCAGGGUCCACCGUCUUCAAAAAGCAAUGACAACAGUGGCCUCCUGGCCCUCCAAAGUCCCCGCAAGAUGAGUGAGUGGAGAUGACUUUGGGGGCCGGGCUGGCAAAAGCAAGUUAGGAUUUCAGCAGAGGACACCCAGCCCCUUGCCACUGUUCCCAUCAGCAUGGCCUCACUCGUGCCUCCCACCCCAGACCCAGAUGCCGUGGGGGCUGAGGAUGGAGCUCAUCUGCUCUGUGCAGGAAAUAUCAUUUCUUCUCUGCUACUGCCACAUGGAUUCCUGAGUCUCCCACCUAAAAGGAAGGUUAUGGCAGUGGGCAGGGGGCGGUGUUGAGAAGGAAGGGGAAGACUCACCCUGGACAUCAUUCAAAGCAGGAUGCGUGGUUUCCUAAAACUUUGCUUCAACUGAUAAGCAAGGAACUGCCCUGAAGCUGCUGGCUUCUUCAUUUCCAAACACAAAAUGAUUGUCUUUCCUUUCCCUGUGGCUCAGGAGUCAUUAUAGCACUUUCCCUCUAUAUUAUAGUCAACAGAGCCACGUUAUAAGCUGGAAAUGAUUAGAGCUAAACUAUGAGAAAUACACUUAAUUAGGUAAGAAAAAAAAUCUAAGAGCAAAUUCAUACUGUAUUUAGAGAAAAAAAUAAUGAAGGCGCCAACCUGUUAAGAAGCCUGAGUACAGGAGGUGCAUUCAGAUGCAACAGAAAAGAAAGUAAGACAGGAUGUCCCAACAUGAGCUUAAUAUAUGUCUUCCCAUUUAUGUGACACUUUGUAUUUGCCCAAGUAAUUUUGCUUAUCUCAAGUCAUUCCUAUGAGGGACAAAGAGAAGGAAGGGUGUGUUAUCUAUACUUAACAUACAAAGAAACAAGGGGACAUAGAGACUUAAGCCCCAAAUCCAGCCUCUGACUCUGUUUUCCAUGACGCCCUCAGUAACCCCGGGGUCCAUUGUGUUUCUUGAGACCAUGAAUUUUGUAUGUCCCUCAUUCAUCUCUGAUCCAUAUUUUCAGCUCCAUUGGCACCUUCUCUCCUAUUAUAUCCCUGCCAACACCUGGGCAAUACAAGAUGGUUCAGAGUGCAUAUUUGUCUAUGCUUUUCUCAUUGGCUAAAGGACUAGCAGAUGUGAUUCUGUUCUUUCUCCCUAGAUAGGCCACACCAGAGCUAAGGAAGUAAGCAGGGCAGGGGGCUCUUGGCUUGCUCAACAGGGUGACAGGUAGGGCAAAGCCAGCAGUGAUUAAAACCUUAAGGACCUCAGGAAUGCAAAGUUUGCAAAGGAAGUUUCGGGAAGCUCCUCUUCCAGUGCGCCUGAGGGUUGUUGUUACACCCUUUCGUCAUUGUCAGCAAGCUGCUCCCUUCCUCUCCUGCACCAGGCACUGCAUUUGGCACGAAAAAUGCUAAGAGGCACAGACAGUCCCCAGCUUAUGAGCUGGGUGGGUUCCAAGUUCAUCUGCUGCAAGUCAAGAACGCAUUUUUCCAAGAAGCAUUGUUACAGAUGGGGGAGGGGAAGGGUGUUCCCAGACCAACUAAAAAAAUAAAAAUCUAUUUAAUGUACA
RNAcentral lists this long non-coding RNA (2111 nucleotides) under Ursus americanus (American black bear). Its description in RNAcentral is "lncRNA (ENSUAMG00000018531.1)". The record is from RNAcentral. Lineage: Eukaryota; Metazoa; Chordata; Mammalia; Carnivora; Ursidae.